Molecule: non-coding RNA, 77 nt
Organism: Cydia pomonella (codling moth)
Lineage: Eukaryota; Metazoa; Arthropoda; Insecta; Lepidoptera; Tortricidae
Source: the annotation of a RefSeq genome assembly
GCUUUCGUAGCUCAAUUGGUUAAGAGCGAUCGGACCGGUGUUCCCGAAGGUCGCAAGUUCGAGUCUUGCCGAAAGCC